CAAGCACCGGCGGACGGCUCAGUAACACGUGGACAACCUGCCCUCGGGAGGGGGAUAGCCCCGGGAAACUGGGGCUAAACCCCCAUAGGAGAUGGAUACUGGAAUGUUCCAUCUCCGAAAGUCCGCAAGGAGCCCGAGGAUGGGUCUGCGGCGGAUUAGGUAGUUGGUGGGGUAACGGCCUACCAAGCCUAAGAUCCGUACGGGCCAUGGGAGUGGGAGCCCGGAGAUGGACCCUGAGACAAGGGUCCAGGCCCUACGGGGCGCAGCAGGCGCGAAACCUCCGCAAUGCGGGAAACCGCGACGGGGUCAGCCGGAGUGCCGAUGCUUGCAUCGGCUGUCGGGGAGCCUAAAAAGCUCCCCAUAGCAAGGGCCGGGCAAGGCCGGUGGCAGCCGCCGCGGUAAUACCGGCGGCCCGAGUGGCGGUCACUAUUAUUGGGCUUAAAGCGUCCGUAGCCGGGUUGGGAAGUCCUCCGGGAAAUCUGGCCGCUUAACGGUCAGAAUGCCGGAGGAUACUCCCAGCCUAGGGAGCGGGAGAGGCCGAGGGUAUUCCCGGAGUAGGGGUGAAAUCCUAUAAUCCCGGGAGGACCACCUGUGGCGAAG
This 600-nucleotide ribosomal RNA is filed under the name uncultured archaeon. RNAcentral describes it as "bacterial SSU rRNA". It matches the Rfam family "Archaeal small subunit ribosomal RNA", at positions 72 to 671 of the family's 1478-position model. The record is from RNAcentral.